Aethalodelphis obliquidens (Pacific white-sided dolphin) is the source of this 160-nucleotide long non-coding RNA. RefSeq lists it as uncharacterized. Lineage: Eukaryota; Metazoa; Chordata; Mammalia; Artiodactyla; Delphinidae. The transcript has 2 exons. The record is from RefSeq and is a predicted model, not a curated record.
AAUGGUGGAUGCCAGGAGCUGGGAGGAGGAGAAAAUGAGGAGUUACUGUUUAAUAGGUACAGAGUUCCUGUUUGGGAAGAUGAAAAAUGUUCUGGAGAUGGAUGGUGGUGAUAGUUCCAUAACAGUGUGAAUGUAUGUAGUGCCAGUGAAUUGUAGACUU